UACGUAGGGUGCAGGCGUUAAUCGGAAUUACUGGGCGUAAAGCGUGCGCAGGCGGUCUGUUAAGAGAGAUGUGAAAUCCCCGGGCUUAACCUGGGAACUGCGUUUCUAACUGGCAGGCUUGAGUGUGGCAGAGGGGGGUGGAAUUCCACGUGUAGCAGUGAAAUGCGUAGAGAUGUGGGGGAACACCGAUGGCGAAGGCAGCCCCCUGGGCUAACACUGACGCUCAUGCACGAAAGCGUGGGGAGCAAACAGG
This 253-nucleotide ribosomal RNA is filed under the name uncultured bacterium. RNAcentral describes it as "partial 16S ribosomal RNA". It matches the Rfam family "Bacterial small subunit ribosomal RNA", at positions 524 to 776 of the family's 1533-position model. The record is from RNAcentral.